UGGGGACGGAGAUGGGGACAAGGACAGGGAUGGAAAUGGAGAUGGGGACGAGGACAAGGACGGAGAUGGAGAUGGGGACAGGGAUGCCGCCACCGCCGCUGCCGCCACCGCCGCAGAAUAAAGCUCUGAGCCGGGUGCUGGGUUUGGAGCGUGAUGGGGACCCUGGGGUGGGGCUGUGGGUGCGGGGUUGGGUUGGGGGACGAUGACGGGUCCCUCCUGUCCCUCAUCCCCAUCCCCCUCCCGUCCCCCAUCCUCCUCCCUUUCCUGUCCCCAUCCCAGUCCCCUCCUGUCCCUUUUGUGGUCCCUUCCUCUUCCUCAUCGCAGUCCUCUCUUAUCCCCAUCCCUGUCCCCUCCUGUCCCCAUCCCCAUCCCUUCCUGUCCGCAUUGCAGUCCCUUCCUGUUUCCCAUCCCCAUCCUUGUCCCCUCCUGUCCCCAUCCCUGUCCCUUCCUGUCCCCAUUGCGGUCCCUUUCUGUCCCCAUCCCUGUCCCUUCCUCUCCCCCAUCAUGGUCCCCUCCUGUCCCCAUCCCUGUCCCCAUCCCUGUCCCUUCCUGUCCCCAUCAUGGUCUCCUCCUGUCCCUAUCGCAGUCCCUUCCUGUUUCCCAUCCCCAUCCCAGUCUCCUCCUGUCCCCAUCCCAGUCUCCUCCUGUCCCCAUCCCUGUCCCUUCCUGUCCCCAUCCCCAUCCCUUCCUUUCCCCAUCGCGGUCCCCUCCUUUUCCCAUCCCCGUCCCUUCCUGUCCCCCAUCGUGGUCCCCUCCUGUCCCCCAUCCCCGUCCCUUCCUGUCCCCACCCCGGCCCCAUCCGCACCAGCCCGGCGCCGUUGCGACACAUCCCCUUUUAUUCGCCGCCACCUCGCAGCCGCCAGCGCCGGAAACCCCAGGCCCCCGGUGCCGAGGCCGUGCCACCACCGUCACCGUCACCGCCACCGUCGUGGUGGCCUCAGCUCCCCGGCGGGCUGGGAGUCGCGGGGAGCGACCGGGCGGCCCCGGGCCGCGGGAAAGACUCGGCGGCGAAGUAGUAAGCGAUGGGGUCGAGGACGGCGUUGGCGCAGGCGAGGAGCAGGGUGCAGCGAUAGGCUUCGUCCAGCGCCGGCCCCGGGGCUCCGCGCAGCUGGUAGCAGAGCAGGACGGCGUGGAAGGGCAAGAAGCAGCCGAGGAAGAUGGCCACGUGGGUGACCACCAUGCGCCGCACCUUGGCGCCGUCCACCAGCGCCAUGCGGGCGGCCGCGCUGCGCCCCACGGCCCGCAGCAGCCCCCACGAGCAGCCCACCAUGACGGCCAGCGGCAAGGCGAAAGCCGCCGCCAUGGCCCCGGCCACCGCCGGCCGCGUCACGUAGCGGGGGCGGCCGUCGAAGCACC
RNAcentral lists this long non-coding RNA (1356 nucleotides) under Apteryx haastii (Great spotted kiwi). Its description in RNAcentral is "lncRNA (ENSAHAG00000016973.1)". The record is from RNAcentral. Lineage: Eukaryota; Metazoa; Chordata; Aves; Apterygiformes; Apterygidae.